GACGAAACGCUGGCGGCGUGCUUAAUACAUGCAAGUCGAGCGAGGUUACUGUUUCGGAUCCCUUCGGGGUGAAGAAGCUUUAACCUAGCGGCGGACGGGUGAGUAACGCGUGGGUAACCUACCCCAAAGUCCGGGAUAACAGCGGGAAACCGCUGCUAAUACCGGAUGCCUUUACCUUGGGGCAUCUUGAGGUAAAGAAAGGUAACGCUUUGGGAUGGGCCCGCGUCCCAUUAGCUAGUUGGUGAGGUAACGGCUCACCAAAGGCGACGAUGGGUAGCCGGCCUGAGAGGGUGGACGGCCACACUGGGACUGAGACACGGCCCAGACUCCUACGGGAGGCAGCAGUAGGGAAUAUUGCGCAAUGGACGGAAGUCUGACGCAGCGACGCCGCGUGAGCGAUGAAGGUCUUCGGAUCGUAAAAGCUCUGUCCUUGGGGAAGAAGGUCUUCGGACUUGACGGUACCCAAAGAAGAAAGCCCCGGUAACUACGUGCCAGCAGCCGCGGUAAGGCUACGUAGA
This 518-nucleotide ribosomal RNA is filed under the name uncultured bacterium. RNAcentral describes it as "bacterial SSU rRNA". It matches the Rfam family "Bacterial small subunit ribosomal RNA", at positions 32 to 531 of the family's 1533-position model. The record is from RNAcentral.